UACGUAGGGUGCGAGCGUUGUCCGGAAUUAUUGGGCGUAAAGAGCUUGUAGGCGGUUUGUCGCGUCUGCUGUGAAAUUUCGGGGCUCAACCCCGAACUUGCAGUGGGUACGGGCAGACUAGAGUGUGGUAGGGGAGACUGGAAUUCCUGGUGUAGCGGUGAAAUGCGCAGAUAUCAGGAGGAACACCGGUGGCGAAGGCGGGUCUCUGGGCCGAUACUGACGCUGAGGAGCGAAAGCGUGGGGAGCAAACAGG
This 253-nucleotide ribosomal RNA is filed under the name uncultured bacterium. RNAcentral's name for it is "partial 16S ribosomal RNA". It matches the Rfam family "Bacterial small subunit ribosomal RNA", at positions 524 to 776 of the family's 1533-position model. The record is from RNAcentral.